CUUUUUUUUUUUUUUUUAAAUAACAGAAAAUAAACAAGUCUGGGUCAAUAUACAAGAAAUUAAUUAGGAGAUACUCAGGCUAAGUCAACUGACAGCACAAGAAAGCAGAGGAGUACCACCAAGAGUAUUGUGCCUGGGCUCACAUUAAUUGCUGAGACAGAUAGAGAGAAACGUAAUACACUCAGAUGCAAAGACAAACUAGCACUGUUUUAACAGGGGAUUCCAGAACAGCAGUCUAUUCAACCUACACCCGUAGCAUACAGGCAGAGUCCAAGUAGAUGUAAAGGGUGACUGAGGUCACCCUGGGCUCCAUGUAUCGCCUCUGCCUUCCAGCAUCCAUGAUCACCGGCUCUGUCCCUUUCAACCAGGAAAUGUGUGUGAGAUCUUAUGGAGCGAUUGUCUUCACAAGUACACAAACUGCGUGCAGCUCGCUGGUUCCACUUGGGUCUCCGCCUGGGAGGGGUAUUCAGGGUGGCAACUCUGCGAUCCUCCGGGUCACUGGAGCUGACAAUGCGAGCUGCCUCCAUGUCCUUAAGCUCUGCGAGAACUGCUCACAGGUUGCGUUGAAUGCUCGUGAGAAGCUUUCUUCUCAGUUCUCCAUCGGGGUCUUUACAUCAUGCUUCGCGGCAGUGCCGCUAUUAGCCAUUUUGGACAGGCCGGGUGAACCCAGGAUUGGCAGAAAGGUAAAAGGUGGGGACCUGGAUAACCCUCGCCGGUCCAAAGGGGGGGGGGGGGUGUACGGGGAACUAAUGCUCACAAGAGAACCUGGGCAGUCCACCUCAGAGAGAUGGGCUGCUUCCCCCAACGAGGAGACACACCAGGGCGCAGCUUGUUGGUCAAGACCAAUGUUACCCAAGAGGUGCCAAAGGACUUUGCAGGUCACAAAGCAUUUAGGAAGAGGGUAAUAAUAUUCUCAAAAACAUGUAAUUAAAUAAAUAUAUUGGGAGAUCAAUCCUGCUGCAUCCUCUCAGUAUGGCGGUCAAGUCCCGCCCCCAUAAGCUUACAUUAUUAUGUAGGAUAUGUUUGUUCAGAUUGUUUUUGCGUCUGUCACCAGAACAAAAUAAUAUUUAAAGAGAUACACUGGAUAUCUGACGUGCAAUAGUGUAUCUAACAGGAUUAUGGGGGAAAAUAUCUUGAGUUUAGUUUUUUCGUAGUCUAGAUUCAAUAUCCCAUCAAACAAGAUACAAACAUUUAUCCUGUAGCGCCCUGCGCAGCCAGAAUAUUCCAUCAAUUUACUUAUAAGUGCUUUUGCAAUAUCUUAAAGGAUGAAUGUGAAAAUCAUUUAUCUUAGCAAACUAAUAUUCAGUUCCACCACAUAGCCAUAUUGUGCUAAGCCCGCCACUGUGUCACAGUACCCCAAUAUCAGUGGGUCGUACACUAAUUUUUAACCAGAGACUCUCCUCAUUCUAUGCUUCCCAUCCACCAUAGGUGCCUCCUUUGCGGAAAGCAUAAAUUGCGGAGAGUCUCUGGAAGCAGUUUAAGCAAUAAGUAUUGCAGUUAGCA
Non-coding RNA from Pelobates cultripes (western spadefoot toad), 1503 nucleotides. NCBI's taxonomy places the organism in Eukaryota, Metazoa, Chordata, Amphibia, Anura, Pelobatidae. The record is from the annotation of a GenBank genome assembly.